AGACGUCUACUAUUAGACUACCCCGUAGUCCCAGCCGUAAACUAUGCGCGUUAGGUGUAUCGGUGACCACGAGUUACCGAGGUGCCGAAGGGAAACCGUGAAACGUGCCGCCUGGGAAGUACGGUCGCAAGGCUGAAACUUAAAGGAAUUGGCGGGGAGCACCACAACAGGUGGAGCCUGCGGUUUAAUUGGACUCAACGCCGGGAAGCUCACCGGAUAGGACAGCAGAAUGAUUGCCGGGCUGAAGACCCUGCAUGACUAGCUG
Molecule: ribosomal RNA, 265 nt
Filed under: uncultured archaeon
Lineage: Archaea
Description: partial 16S ribosomal RNA
Rfam family: Archaeal small subunit ribosomal RNA
Source: RNAcentral